GGGAUUGUAGUUCAGGGGUAGAACGUUUCAUUCGCAUUCGAGAACUUCCGAUUCUUGAAAAGGUCCCCGGUUCAAAUCCGGGCAAUUCCA
Molecule: non-coding RNA, 90 nt
Organism: Orbilia brochopaga
Lineage: Eukaryota; Fungi; Ascomycota; Orbiliomycetes; Orbiliales; Orbiliaceae
Source: the annotation of a GenBank genome assembly